ACACCAACAGCAGGGAAUGGCAGAAUUAUGUGUGGUGAAUCCCCCUAAGCGGCGGGGUCAAGCUGACAUGAGGGAACCCUCAAUGUAUUUCGUUUUUAUGGACGGAUUGAGAAAUCGGCGCUCAAUUCACCGGGAGGCACCCGGCACCACACGCCUAUUUUAAUUAUGCAUUUUAUCGACCCAACUGCUUAGUGGC
RNAcentral lists this small RNA (196 nucleotides) under Enterobacter sp. 638. Its description in RNAcentral is "Gammaproteobacterial sRNA STnc100". It matches the Rfam family "Gammaproteobacterial sRNA STnc100". Lineage: Bacteria; Pseudomonadati; Pseudomonadota; Gammaproteobacteria; Enterobacterales; Enterobacteriaceae. The record is from Rfam by way of RNAcentral.